UUUUUUUUUUUUUUUUUUUUUUUUUUUUUUUUUUUUUUUUUUUUUUUUUUCAAGACAGCAGGGAA
Molecule: non-coding RNA, 65 nt
Filed under: Alexandrium minutum
Lineage: Eukaryota; Dinophyceae; Gonyaulacales; Pyrocystaceae
Source: RNAcentral